GCCCGGAUGGUCUAGUGGUAUGAUUCGCGCUUAGGGUUCACCCAAAGCAUCAACUGCGCGAGGUCCCCGGUUCGAUCCCGGGUUCGGGCC
RNAcentral lists this transfer RNA (90 nucleotides) under Aspergillus parasiticus. Its description in RNAcentral is "tRNA-Pro". RNAcentral also lists the same sequence under 5 other names. The record is from RNAcentral. Lineage: Eukaryota; Fungi; Ascomycota; Eurotiomycetes; Eurotiales; Aspergillaceae.